GUGGAUCCCUUGGCUUGUGGGUCGAUGAAGAUCGUAGCAAGAUGCGAGAUCGUAAUGUGAACUGCAGGACACAUGAACAUCGACAAAUCGAACGCAUAUUGCGGCCUUUGUCUCUGACUUAGGCCACGCCUGGCGGAGGGUCGG
RNAcentral lists this ribosomal RNA (144 nucleotides) under Stenchaetothrips karnyianus. RNAcentral's name for it is "partial 5.8S ribosomal RNA". It matches the Rfam family "5.8S ribosomal RNA". Rfam says of the family: 5.8S ribosomal RNA (5.8S rRNA) is a component of the large subunit of the eukaryotic ribosome. Lineage: Eukaryota; Metazoa; Arthropoda; Insecta; Thysanoptera; Thripidae. The record is from RNAcentral.